GGGGGGUUCGGCGCAUGCGCAGUUUCGACUUGUUGCGAUUUUUGCGACGGGGUGCGAGAGUGAUUCAAUAUUCAAUGAUUAGCUGAUGAAUAAGCGCAUUAUGUCACUGCGCUCAUUAUGUAACCAACGCUGCACUGCUUACUGCAAUUGAGUGUGCGACCGAGAGGGGACAGAGACGGCGGAAGGCGGCACCGGGUGCGGGGCUUCCGGGGGGGAGGCUGGCUUCUCCCUGGAGCCUCUCCAGCCCCACAGCCCCCUGGCAGGGGUGGCCCUGGCACAGCUGCAGGACCCUGAGCAGCUCAAGGCCAUGGGCCUCUGCGGGGAUACCCUCAUCAUCCUCGGCGAUGCGGGGCAGGGCCCGCAGCCAGUCAGCGUGCCCGUGCAGUGCAUCUCAGGGGGCGGGGACUCUGCGGUGGGCUCCACCAGCCUGGUGCUGUGCCUGCCCGAGGACACGGUGGCGGUGCAGGUGGCAGCCUCCAGCCAGGAGUCCUGGGCCUGGCUGCAGGAGGCGGCCCCGCACAGCCAGGGCCUUGUGGCCACCACGGGCGCCACCCUCGCCACUGCGCCCGGUGGCGAGGUGGUGCUGGUCAUGGACUCCUCUGAAGACUCCGUGGGACUUGCGGCCAAGAGCUGGUUCAACGACUCCAUGAUCGCGACGCAGGCGUUGCUCACGCUCGAAACGCACAAGUGACUUCGCCGCACACGCUUCGUUGGCUGACUUGUCGCUAGGCCACCAACUCCGUUCGCUCCUGGGCUGGCGGUGGACCGACUGUCUACCCUGCGCCGUCUGACUGCGCUCUCCUCGGUCACUCGCGUUCGGAGAGUGCUAUCAUGUGGCCAGGGGUUGUUGACAGACGUUCGACCCAUACGCUUUUUGUGCCGAAUUUGUCUCGGAACUACAGCUGGUUUGCCGGUUGUUUUCAUUCUUUCUUGCUUUCGACUUUUUACGUUUCCGGUGGUGCAGAAUGGAUAUCUGAUUUAUUGUACAUUUACUUAGAAAUGAGAAUUAGCUUUGGCUGACAUGCUCCACCUUAACUUAGGGGUGAACGGAGUUGGGGAUUUUGGCGACGGUUGCUUUUUUUGCUGUCUGUUGCAUUAAUUAGUCUGUGCUGCUUCAUGGGAAUGUUUGGUUCUUGCUAGAAAGCCUAGGGGGUUUUGUUGUUGAGCCUUGUUUUUUUUGCAAAUGUGAGACUGCUUUCAUUGAAGACGUUUAUCUGUGCAGUGAAGUAGAAGAGGCUGUAGUUUGACGCCAGCUGACACAAAUGUCAGAAGACGGUUCUUUUCUUUGUAGUUUUCCACGUGCUUCCUGUAGACUAACGCAGUUGCUGAAUGUGUUGUUAAGUUUGCGACCAAUGUGUUUUUGGGCGCCACAGUAUACAACAGUUAUAUUUGAGUCAACGUUGCAUUUUGAAACCUUUAUAGAUGCGAUAUUGCGCGCCGUCAGGAAAGAGAUAGUACCUAUAACCUUGGCCGGGGCAUCCCCUUUGUCUUGUGAGGGCUAACUUGGGAGAGUGCUGAUUCUCGACAGUCACUUAGCCCUCACGAAGAUGAUGUUUCCCGCUAGCUACUUUGCCGGCACAAAGUAAGAAAAAAACUAAUAGUUGCUUGCUUCCUUCCUCUUUUGGCAUGAGCUCGGCCGAACAAAGGGCGACUUUCGCAUGCUUUGGAGCCUUGAAACAUUGUUUUCAGUGAGGUUCCCCAAGAUUUUGUGACUCCAAAGGUGUGCCAGCAGGGAUUAGAGGCCCCAGGUGCAACGGUUGUUAUCGAGGUUUGUAGCCUCGAUGUCGAGAAGGCUUUUAUGUAGGACGCGGCGCCAAGUCGUGCUCACCGCACGGUUUGAGAAGCAGCUUCGGACGCUGGAUGAAGAACUGACGUGUUUUUGGAGCUUGUCAUGUACAUAAGAGGCACAGUCGACCUGUUUGUGCAUGUACAUAGAGUAUUUUCCUCUUAGACUUAUUAAAUCGUUCACGACGCUG
Molecule: long non-coding RNA, 1976 nt
Filed under: Ixodes scapularis (black-legged tick)
Lineage: Eukaryota; Metazoa; Arthropoda; Arachnida; Ixodida; Ixodidae
Description: uncharacterized LOC120840335
Source: RNAcentral